AAUGCCUAGGAAUCUGCCUGGUAGUGGGGGAUAACGUUCGGAAACGGACGCUAAUACCGCAUACGUCCUACGGGAGAAAGCAGGGGAUCUUCGGGCCUUGCGCUAUCAGAUGAGCCUAGGUCGGAUUAGCUAGUUGGUGAGGUAAUGGCUCACCAAGGCGACGAUCCGUAACUGGUCUGAGAGGAUGAUCAGUCACACUGGAACUGAGACACGGUCCAGACUCCUACGGGAGGCAGCAGUGGGGAAUAUUGGACAAUGGGCGAAAGCCUGAUCCAGCCAUGCCGCGUGUGUGAAGAAGGUCUUCGGAUUGUAAAGCACUUUAAGUUGGGAGGAAGGGUUGUAGAUUAAUACUCUGCAAUUUUGACGUUACCGACAGAAUAAGCACCGGCUAACUCUGUGCCAGCAGCCGCGGUAAUACAGAGGGUGCAAGCGUUAAUCGGAAUUACUGGGCGUAAAGCGCGCGUAGGUGGUUUGUUAAGUUGGAUGUGAAAUCCCCGGGCUCAACCUGGGAACUGCAUUCAAAACUGACUGACUAGAGUAUGGUAGAGGGUGGUGGAAUUUCCUGUGUAGCGGUGAAAUGCGUAGAUAUAGGAAGG
RNAcentral lists this ribosomal RNA (596 nucleotides) under uncultured bacterium. RNAcentral describes it as "bacterial SSU rRNA". It matches the Rfam family "Bacterial small subunit ribosomal RNA", at positions 112 to 704 of the family's 1533-position model. The record is from RNAcentral.